RNAcentral lists this ribosomal RNA (1035 nucleotides) under Triticum aestivum (bread wheat). RNAcentral's name for it is "partial small subunit ribosomal RNA". The record is from RNAcentral. Lineage: Eukaryota; Viridiplantae; Streptophyta; Magnoliopsida; Poales; Poaceae.
AUGGCGCCGUGGCUGCUGCUCCCCUCCUUCCCGUGGCCUCCCCCGCCCCCUCCCGGCUCCUCCUCUGGCCGCGGCGGCGGAGGCGGUGGAGGCGACGGCGGAGAUUGGAAGCCCAACGUCGUCACGGCCAUCGCCGGCGUCCACCUCGGCCGCUCCCUCCGCCGUCGCCUCGCCGGCCUCCUCUGCUCGCCGGAGGUGCGGUCUCUUGAUGUCUUACCGAGAAUAGGUGACAUUUGGUUUGGAGGAUCACAGCCACUUGACACACAGCACCUUCUUGGGACGCUGGGAAAUGUGUUCUCCACAUCGUUUGUUUGCAGUUCUGCUUUUUUCGGUGGGAAUAGGUCAGGUGGGAGAUACGUCGGUAGCGGAAAUUUGCAGCCCAGACGGUCUCAUGGGAUCAACUCGAAGAAGAGGCUGUGGACUAAUGUCCUUCUUGCUGUUAACAUCCUGGCUUAUAUCGCUCAGAUAGCAUCGCAAGGAAAGCUUCUUAUGUGGGGAGCAAAGGUCAACAGCCUGAUUGAUAGAGGGGAGUUUUGGCGUUUGGCUACAUCAACAAUUCUUCAUGGAAAUCUUACUCAUCUUGCUUUCAAUUGUUUUUCUUUGAAUUCGAUUGGCCCUACUGUGGAGCUCGUUACUGGUCCUAAAAGAUUUCUUGCUGUUUAUUUCACUUCCGCACUGGCAGGUUCACUAAUGAGUUAUCGCUAUUGUCAAUCACCUUCUGUUGGCGCAUCAGGGGCCAUUUUUGGACUGGUUGGUGCCUAUGCUGUUUAUACAUGGAGGCACAGAAAGCUUUUGGGGCAUGGAAGGGAAAGUUUAGAGCAGAUCGCACGUGUGGUCAUCUUAAACAUGGGUAUGGGUCUCCUUUCAAGGGGCAUUGACAACUGGGGUCAUCUAGGAGGCUUGCUCGGGGGAGUGGCUGCGGCAUGGUUUCUUGGUCCAGCUUGGCAAAAUCAGUAUGUACCAAAGGAGGGAAGAAUGGUGUUCAAAGACAGGGCACCCAUUCACCAGCUAAUAGGCAGUAAACGAUCGCGGUAA